RNAcentral lists this long non-coding RNA (317 nucleotides) under Prunus persica (peach). RNAcentral's name for it is "long non-coding RNA (PPER_LNC007588)". Lineage: Eukaryota; Viridiplantae; Streptophyta; Magnoliopsida; Rosales; Rosaceae. The record is from RNAcentral.
GGGGACUUCACACCUUCCAAAUGCAACACAGGAAAAUCACCAAAAGAAACUAUCAUAGGGGUAAAGCCAAGAGAAAGCUACCACAUGGGUAUAGUAAGAGCCCACACAGGGGCAAGACAUAUUAUUGUCCAAGGAAAAUAGGGACAUAAUAAUCGGAAGGGGCGUCGAAUGGUCACUUCGCCCCCACUGCACUGAAACUACAACCCCUUUCAACAAAAAUGGUUUUUUUCUCACAUCAACACAGCUCAUAGAAAUUUGGAUGCAUACUCUUAGUGCAAUUUCAUAUUUAAGAAUCAAGCUAAAUUCAUGGACCCGGA